GAUUGCACGCAAUAGUGGGGCU
RNAcentral lists this microRNA (22 nucleotides) under Ptychodera flava. RNAcentral's name for it is "Pfl-Mir-4818-P3_3p (mature (guide))". The record is from RNAcentral. Lineage: Eukaryota; Metazoa; Hemichordata; Enteropneusta; Ptychoderidae.